This 226-nucleotide ribosomal RNA is filed under the name Plasmodium falciparum (malaria parasite P. falciparum). RNAcentral describes it as "partial 18S ribosomal RNA". It matches the Rfam family "Eukaryotic small subunit ribosomal RNA", at positions 415 to 639 of the family's 1831-position model. Lineage: Eukaryota; Apicomplexa; Aconoidasida; Haemosporida; Plasmodiidae. The record is from RNAcentral.
UCUAAUGAAAGCAGGAGGCGCGUAAAUUACCCAAUUCUAAAGAAGAGAGGUAGUGACAAGAAAUAACAAUGCAAGGCCAAUUUUUGGUUUUGUAAUUGGAAUGGUGGGAAUUUAAAACCUUCCCAGAGUAACAAUUGGAGGGCAAGUCUGGUGCCAGCAGCCGCGGUAAUUCCAGCUCCAAUAGCGUAUAUUAAAAUUGUUGCAGUUAAAACGCUCGUAGAUGAAU